CCUACGGGAGGCAGCAGUGGGGAAUAUUGGACAAUGGGCGCAAGCCUGAUCCAGCCAUGCCGCGUGAGUAUGAAGGCCUUAGGGUUGUAAAGCUCUUUCAGUGGGGACGAUAAUGACGGUACCCACAGAAGAAGCCCCGGCAACUUCGUGCCAGCAGCCGCGGUAAUACGAAGGGGGCUAGCGUUGUUCGGAUUUACUGGGCGUAAAGCGCACUAGGCGGAUCGUUAAGUCGGGGGUGAAAUCCUGGAGCUCAACUCCAGAACUGCCUUCGAUACUGGCGAUCUUAGUCCGGAAGAGGUGAGUGGAACUCCUAGUGUAGAGGUGGAAUUCGUAGAUAUUAGGAAGAACACCAGUGGCAAGGCGGCUCACUGGUCCGGUACUGACGCUGAGGUGCGAAAGCGUGGGGAUCAAACAGGAUUAGAUACCCUGUAGUCCACGCCGUAAACUAUGAUUACUCGUUUUCGGCACUUAAGUGUGUCGGAGACCAAGCGAAAGUGAUAAUAAUCCACCUGGGGAGUACGAUCGCAAGGUUGAAACUCAAAUGAAUUGACGGA
This 554-nucleotide ribosomal RNA is filed under the name uncultured bacterium. Its description in RNAcentral is "bacterial SSU rRNA". It matches the Rfam family "Bacterial small subunit ribosomal RNA", at positions 338 to 917 of the family's 1533-position model. The record is from RNAcentral.